Molecule: unclassified non-coding RNA, 385 nt
Filed under: soil metagenome
Description: partial contains 5.8S ribosomal RNA, internal transcribed spacer 2, and large subunit ribosomal RNA
Rfam family: 5.8S ribosomal RNA (bases 1-120)
Source: RNAcentral
GAUGAAGAACGUAGUGAAAUGCGAUAAGUAAUGUGAAUUGCAGAAUUCAGUGAAUCAUCGAAUCUUUGAACGCAUCUUGCACUCCUUGGUAUUCCGAGGAGCAUGCCUGUUUGAGUGUCAUUAAAUUCUCAACUACACUGAUUUUUUUUGGUUGGUGUAGAUUGGAUUUGGGGGAAUUUUUUGCGGGCUUUGUAAAAUGAAGUCGGCUCCCCUGAAAUUAAUUAGUGGUACCUUAGUUGAACUGUCUACAGGUGUGAUAAUUUAUCUACGCCCCAGAUGUCUGCAUGAAAAAGGUUAUGCUGCUUCUUAACCUCACUAAUGAUAAUCUUGACCUCAAAUCAGGUAGGACUACCCGCUGAACUUAAGCAUAUCAAUAAGCGGAGGA